GUUGCACAGAAAUGGCAAACCAGAAAAAACAGUUAAAAAGACUUUAAAUGAAAAAGAGAGAGAGAAGGAGGCGAUGUCGUAAAAGAGGUGAAGACGGAAAUAGAAACAGGAUGUAUGUUUCUAUGCAGAGGCGGGAAGGGAGUGAAAUGAAGUUGGUCACUAGAGGGUAAAAUAAGCCUAACCAGGUCAAGCGUGCACCUAUUGGAAUCUUGCCUGGAGAAGCUUGACUGUUGAGCGGUGGAGGCUCGCUGAGUUGAUACUCGAUGCACUCAACCUCAUGAGCAGAUGUUUUGGAGGAUUUCAAGCGAAGCCUUCUGGGGGACUUCUCCUGGCAUCAUUCUGACCUCGAUGAUAUAGAAUGACUGACACAAACCUGGAAGGCCAGCUGAUAGCGGCAUCAUCAUCACUACCAUCUGGCAUCUGCUUCACCAAAGAAGAAGAAGCAGUUCCAGGGAUCACAUUGGAGACCUUGGUGGGAUGUGUGUUCAUUAAAUCAGUAUAGCCCUCAAAAUCAAAAUGACACUUGGAAAAGGGUUCCUCAUACCUGCUCUAAACAUUCCCGUAUGGCGAUGAUGUCAGGUUUUAUGUUGCAUAGUUAUAAUUCUCUCUUGGGACCAUCAGGUUCAGUAGUGCUCUGUUAGACACACACAAACCAACCGUCAGCAAAUAUCUGACCUGCUGAAGCUGCCUUUUUAACUUCUCUGAAUUUCCUGUAAUUGGAGGAAAAACCCAGAUUUCCUGAUCAAAAAUGAGCCAAGCGAUUUGGAGUUUUCUGACAUACCUAAAAUGUAUCCUGUUUACUUAACGACUUCAGGGGGCUGUCUAUCGGCGCCUCUGACUCAUCCUCCCCCAGCAACUGAGUUUCUGGCUGUAUCUAAUUGUUUUUGGUCGUCAGGCGAGCAAAGGGACAGGCUGUGAGGGGAGAUUGUUGUUGGAGACGACAGAGCUCUACAGGAGUGAGUCUCCCUGUGAGAAACAAUAACGACGAAACAAUGCAAUUACUGUGAAAGGAGGCUUUCAGUCUCAGCCGAGACUCUCAAUAGCCACCAGGACUUAAUUUCCAACUGAAGAGAGCAAUUGCAUUUAAAAGAAGUCGGGGGCAGAACAGUGGAAAGGAAAAGUUGGGGUGAAUUCAAAUAGAAACUUAGCAUUUAGGCCAGCAACUUUACAAUGGAAAGCAGAGAUCAACAUCUAUUCACCGCAGACUCAAAGCACAGGAUGUAUUGCCUUUACAAAUGAGAAAAGGUUAUGGAGAGGUUGAGAUAGCGGCCCGGGCUAACACUGUGAUCAUUUCAAGUAAACUGAAACGAUGCGAUCAGGAACCGAAACAGAAAGGAUUGAGGUUUGAAUGAGGGGGGGGGAGAUCCUAUGGAUGGGAUUUCCA
Pleuronectes platessa (European plaice) is the source of this 1384-nucleotide long non-coding RNA. RefSeq lists it as uncharacterized. NCBI's taxonomy places the organism in Eukaryota, Metazoa, Chordata, Actinopteri, Pleuronectiformes, Pleuronectidae. The transcript has 3 exons. The record is from RefSeq and is a predicted model, not a curated record.